AGAGUUUGAUCAUGGCUCAGGAUGAACGCUAGCUACAGGCUUAACACAUGCAAGUCGAGGGGCAGCAUGUUGGUUGCUUGCAACCAAUGAUGGCGACCGGCGCACGGGUGAGUAACGCGUAUCCAACCUACCCUUGUCCAUCGGAUAACCCGUCGAAAGGCGGCCUAACACGAUAUGCGGUUCUCAGCAGGCAUCUAACGAGAACGAAAUGUGAAGGAGAAGGAUGGGGAUGCGUCUGAUUAGCUUGGUUGGCGGGGUAACGCCACCAAGGCGACGAUCGAGUAGGGGUUCUGAGACGGAAGGUCCCCCANAUUGGAACUGAGACACGGUCCAAACGUCCUACGGGAGGCA
Molecule: ribosomal RNA, 351 nt
Filed under: uncultured bacterium
Lineage: Bacteria
Description: bacterial SSU rRNA
Rfam family: Bacterial small subunit ribosomal RNA
Source: RNAcentral